RNAcentral lists this ribosomal RNA (552 nucleotides) under Dendropsophus leali (Leal's treefrog). Its description in RNAcentral is "partial 16S ribosomal RNA". It matches the Rfam family "Bacterial large subunit ribosomal RNA", at positions 1903 to 2608 of the family's 2925-position model. Lineage: Eukaryota; Metazoa; Chordata; Amphibia; Anura; Hylidae. The record is from RNAcentral.
CCCGCCUGCCAGUGACCAAGUUCAACGGCCGCGGUAUCCUAACCGUGCGAAGGUAGCGUAAUCACUUGUUCUUUAAAUGAGGACUAGUAUGAAUGGCACCACGAGGGCUAUACUGUCUCCUUUUUCUAAUCAAUGAAACUGAUCCCCCCGUGAAGAAGCGGGGAUAAACAUAUAAGACGAGAAGACCCUAUGGAGCUUUAAACAAAAUAGCACUGGCCCCCUCUUCCCAGCUUCCAGAAACAUAACACCUAUACUGGCCAAAAUGACUAUUAGUUUUAGGUUGGGGUGACCACGGAGCAAAAAUCAACCUCCACAUUGAACGGAAAUACUCCUGAGCCAAAAGCUACGACUUUAAGCACCAAUAAACUGACAUUAAUUGACCCAAUAUUUUGAUCAACGAACCAAGUUACCCUAGGGAUAACAGCGCAAUCCAUUUCAAGAGCUCCUAUCGACAAAUGGGUUUACGACCUCGAUGUUGGAUCAGGGUACCCCAGUGGUGCAGCCGCUACUAAAGGUUCGUUUGUUCAACGAUUAAAACCCUACGUGAUCUGA